The sequence is a ribosomal RNA, 1434 nucleotides long. It matches the Rfam family "Bacterial small subunit ribosomal RNA".
CGUACUAGCUAUAAGAGUGUGAUCGUGGUCUCAGGAGCUCUCAUCGCUGUGGCGGAUAAAUUGGCGAACGGGUGAGUAACACGUGAGUAACCUGCCCUUAACUCUGGGAUAAGCCUGGGAAACUGGGUCUAAUACCGGAUAGGAGCGCCUACCGCAUGGUGGGUGUUGGAAAGAUUUAUCGGUUUUGGAUGGACUCGCGGCCUAUCAGCUUGUUGGUGAGGUAAUGGCUCACCAAGGCGACGACGGGUAGCCGGCCUGAGAGGGUGACCGGCCACACUGGGACUGAGACACGGCCCAGACUCCUACGGGAGGCAGCAGUGGGGAAUAUUGCACAAUGGGCGCAAGCCUGAUGCAGCGACGCCGCGUGAGGGAUGACGGCCUUCGGGUUGUAAACCUCUUUCAGUAGGGAAGAAGCGAAAGUGACGGUACCUGCAGAAGAAGCACCGGCUAAAUACGUGCCAGCAGCCGCGGUAAUACGUAGGGUGCGAGCGUUAUCCGGAAUUAUUGGGCGUAAAGAGCUCGUAGGCGGUUUGUCGCGUCUGUCGUGAAAGUCCGGGGCUUAACCCCGGAUCUGCGGUGGGUACGGGCAGACUAGAGUGCAGUAGGGGAGACUGGAAUUCCUGGUGUAGCGGUGGAAUGCGCAGAUAUCAGGAGGAACACCGAUGGCGAAGGCAGGUCUCUGGGCUGUAACUGACGCUGAGGAGCGAAAGCAUGGGGAGCGAACAGGAUUAGAUACCCUGGUAGUCCAUGCCAUAAACGUUGGGCACUAGGUGUGGGGACCAUUCCACGGUUUCCGCGCCGCAGCUAACGCAUUAAGUGCCCCGCCUGAGGAGUACGGCCGCAAGGCUAAAACUCAAAGGAAUUGACGGGAGCCCCCACAAGCGGCCGGAGCAUGCGGGAUUAAUUCGAUGCAACGCGAAGUAACCUUACCAAGGUCUGGACAUGAUCCUCGAUCCCCGUAGAGAUACGGUUUCCCCUUUGGGGCGGGUUCACAGGUGGUGCAUGGUUGUCGUCAGCUCGUGUCGUGAGAUGUUGGGUUAAGUCCCGCAACGAGCGCAACCCUCGUUCCAUGUUGCCAGCACGUAAUGGUGGGGACUCAUGGGAGACUGCCGGGGUCAACUCGGAGGAAGGUGAGGACGACGUCAAAUCAUCAUGCCCCUUAUGUCUUGGGCUUCACGCAUGCUACAAUGGCCGGUACAAUGGGUUGCGAUACUGUGAGGUGGAGCUAAUCCCAAAAAGCCGGUCUCAGUUCGGAUUGGGGUCUGCAACUCGACCCCAUGAAGUCGGAGUCGCUAGUAAUCGCAGAUCAGCAACGCUGCGGUGAAUACGUUCCCGGGCCUUGUACACACCCCCCGUCAAGUCACAAAAGUCGGCUACUAGAGUGAGCUCGGGUCUCUAGAAGUCUUGACACAGGUGACCGUAUAAGAGUACCUC